CGCGUGUACUGGUCCGGCCGGGCCUUUCCUUCUGGAGAUCCCCAUGCCCUUCACUGGGUGUGUGGGGGAACCAGGACUUUUACUUUGAAAAAAUUAGAGUGUUCAAAGCAGGCCUUUGCUCGAAUACGUUAGCAUGGAAUAAUAGAAUAGGACGUGCGGUCCUAUUUUGUUGGUUUCUAGGACCGCUGUAAUGAUUAAUAGGGAUAGUCGGGGGCAUCAGUAUUCAAUUGUCAGAGGUGAAAUUCUUGGAUUUAUUGAAGACUAACUACUGCGAAAGCAUUUGCCAAGGAUGUUUUCAUUAAUCAGUGAACGAAAGUUAGGGGAUCGAAGACGAUCAGAUACCGUCGUAGUCUUAACCGUAAACUAUGCCGACUAGGGAUCGGGCGAUGUUUCUUUCUUGACUCGCUCGGCACCUUACGAGAAAUCAAAGUUUUUGGGUUCUGGGGGGAGUAUGGUCGCAAGGGCUGAAACUUAAAGAAAUUGACGGAAGGGCACCACCAGGCGUGGAGCCUGCGGCUUAAUUUGACUCAACACGGGGAAACUCACCAGGUCCAGAUGAAAUAAGGAUUGACAGAUUGAGAGCUCUUUCUUGAUUUUUCAGGUGGUGGUGCAUGGCCGUUCUUAGUUGGUGGAGUGAUUUGUCUGCUUAAUUGCGAUAACGAACGAGACCUUAACCUGCUAAAUAGCCAGGCUAGCUUUGGCUGGUCGCCGGCUUCUUAGAGGGACUAUCGG
RNAcentral lists this ribosomal RNA (732 nucleotides) under uncultured eukaryote. RNAcentral's name for it is "SSU rRNA". It matches the Rfam family "Eukaryotic small subunit ribosomal RNA", at positions 670 to 1426 of the family's 1831-position model. The record is from RNAcentral.